UAAGGAAUAUUGGUCAAUGGGCGGAAGCCUGAACCAGCCAUGCCGCGUGCAGGAAGACGGCCCUACGGGUUGUAAACUGCUUUUGUACCGGAAUAAACCUUCUUUCGUGAAAGAAGCUGAAUGUACGGUAAGAAUAAGGAUCGGCUAACUCCGUGCCAGCAGCCGCGGUAAUACGGAGGAUCCAAGCGUUAUCCGGAUUUAUUGGGUUUAAAGGGUGCGUAGGCGGCCUAUUAAGUCAGGGGUGAAAGACGGUAGCUUAACUAUCGCAGUGCCUUUGAUACUGAUAGGCUUGAAUAUACUAGAGGUAGGCGGAAUGUGACAAGUAGCGGUGAAAUGCAUAGAUAUGUCACAGAACACCAAUUGCGAAGGCAGCUUACUAUGGUAUUAUUGACGCUGAGGCACGAAAGCGUGGGGAUCAAACAGGAUUAGAUACCCGCGUAGUCC
This 444-nucleotide ribosomal RNA is filed under the name uncultured bacterium. Its description in RNAcentral is "bacterial SSU rRNA". It matches the Rfam family "Bacterial small subunit ribosomal RNA", at positions 355 to 796 of the family's 1533-position model. The record is from RNAcentral.